Molecule: ribosomal RNA, 887 nt
Filed under: uncultured bacterium
Lineage: Bacteria
Description: bacterial SSU rRNA
Rfam family: Bacterial small subunit ribosomal RNA
Source: RNAcentral
AAAAGUUGGUGCGUCUUAAACAUGCAGUCGGGGAGACGGGGUAGCAAUAUCCCUAGUAAACCGGCGAACGGGUGAGUAACGCGUAGGUAACCUACCUUGUGGACGGGGAUAACUCCGGGAAACCGGGGCUAAUACCCGAUGCUGUCCGACUGCAGCAUUGCAGUUUGAUGAAAAGUCCCAAAAGGAUGUCGCAAGAUGGGCCUGCGUCCCAUUAGAUAGUUGGCGGGAUAACAGCCCACCAAGUCAACGAUGGGUAGCUGGUCUGAGAGGACGACCAGUCACACUGGAACUGAGACACGGUCCAGACUUCUACGGAAGGCAGCAGUGAGGAAUAUUGCUCAAUGGGCGAAAGCCUGAAGCAGCGACGCCGCGUGAAGGAUGAAAUUCUUUUAGAAUGUAAACUUCUUUUGCAGGGGAAGAAUGUCCCGCUUUGGCGGGAUUGACGGUACCCUGUGAAUAAGCACCGGCCAACUACGUGCCAGCAGCCGCGGUAAUACGUAGGGUGCAAGCGUUGUCCGGAAUUACUGGGUGUAAAGGGUCCGCAGGCGGGUAAGCAAGUCGGUGGUGAAAUCCUGCAGCUCAACUGCAGAACUGCCUCUGAUACUGUUUAUCUUGAGUUCGAGAGAGGAUGAUGGAAUUCAUGGUGUAGCGGUGAAAUGCGUAGAUAUCAUGAAGAAUACCGGUUGCGAAGGCGGUCAUCUGGCUCGAUACUGACGCUCAGGGACGAAAGCGUGGGGAGCAAACAGGAUUAGAUACCCUGGUAGUCCACGCCUUAAACGAUGGAUGUUCGGUGUCGGUCCCGUCCAGCACUUGCGUGCAAGUGUUGAACGGGUCGGUGCCUGAGCUAACGCGUUAAACAUCCCACCUGGGAGUACGAUCGCAAGGUU